AGUGAACGCUGGCGGUAGGCCUAACACAUGCAAGUCGAACGGCAGCACAGUAAGAGCUUGCUCUUACGGGUGGCGAGUGGCGGACGGGUGAGGAAUACAUCGGAAUCUACUUUUUCGUGGGGGAUAACGUAGGGAAACUUACGCUAAUACCGCAUACGACCUACGGGUGAAAGCAGGGGAUCUUCGGACCUUGCGCGACUGAAUGAGCCGAUGUCGGAUUAGCUAGUUGGCGGGGUAAAGGCCCACCAAGGCGACGAUCCGUAGCUGGGCUGAGAGGAUGACCAGCCCCACUGGAACUGAGAAACGGUCCAGACUCCUACGGGAGGCAGCAGUGGGGAAUAUUGGACAAUGGGCGCAAGCCUGAUCCAGCCAUACCGCGUGGGUGAAGAAGGCCUUCGGGUUGUAAAGCCCUUUUGUUGGGAAAGAAAAGCAGCAGGUUAAUACCCCGCUGUUCUGACGGUACCCAAAGAAUAAGCACCGGCUAACUUCGUG
Molecule: ribosomal RNA, 492 nt
Filed under: uncultured bacterium
Lineage: Bacteria
Description: partial 16S ribosomal RNA
Rfam family: Bacterial small subunit ribosomal RNA
Source: RNAcentral